RNAcentral lists this ribosomal RNA (301 nucleotides) under uncultured bacterium. RNAcentral describes it as "partial 16S ribosomal RNA". It matches the Rfam family "Bacterial small subunit ribosomal RNA", at positions 509 to 807 of the family's 1533-position model. The record is from RNAcentral.
CAGCAGCCGCGGGAAUACGUAGGGUGCAAGCGUUAAUCGGAAUUACUGGGCGUAAAGCGUGCGUAGGCGGUUUGUUAAGUCUGCUGUGAAAUCCCCGGGCUCAACCUGGGAAUGGCAGUGGAUACUGGCAAGCUAGAGUGUGUCAGAGGAUGGUGGAAUUCCCGGUGUAGCGGUGAAAUGCGUAGAGAUCGGAAGGAACAUCUGUGGCGAAGGCGACUAUCUGGGCCGACACUGACACUGAGGCACGAAAGCGUGGGGAGCAAACAGGAUUAGAUACCCGCGUAGUCCCUGUCUCUUAUAC